AGCAGCCGCGGUAAUUCCAGCUCCAAUAGCGUAUAUUAAAGUUGUUGCAGUUAAAAAGCUCGUAGUUGAAUUUCGGGAUCAGCAGGUUGGUCUUGCCACUGGUAUGUACUAGCUUGCUGAUUCCUCCUCCUUGUAGAACCGUAAUGCCAUUAAUUUGGUGUUGCGGGGAAACGGGACUGUUACUUUGAAAAAAUUAGAGUGUUUAAAGCAGGCCAGCGCCUGGAUACAUUAGCAUGGAA
This 239-nucleotide ribosomal RNA is filed under the name uncultured Glomus. Its description in RNAcentral is "partial 18S ribosomal RNA". It matches the Rfam family "Eukaryotic small subunit ribosomal RNA", at positions 569 to 814 of the family's 1831-position model. The record is from RNAcentral. Lineage: Eukaryota; Fungi; Glomeromycota; Glomeromycetes; Glomerales; Glomeraceae.